AGAGGAUGGGGUACAGGGAGUCCAGGUCUCCUCCACUCUGUCUCCCCAUCUGCAAAGUUAGGGAGCCCGACUUGAAUACCUCCAGGGUCUCUUCCCACUGUCUCCCUAGCCUUCUGCACAUUCUGCACACACAGGCAGGGGGUCCCCAGAGCUGAGUGUGUUUCCUCAUUUGUCUUCCUGCAAGUGCCUGUAGCUACCAGGGGCCCCUUCCCACUAUGGGCAGCCAGGUGCUGUGCUGCGUGGUCCUUUGUCUCCUGGGAGCAGGCACAGUGGGUGGCGGAAUCACUCAGACCCCAAAAUACCUGUCCAGAGAGGAAGGACGAGAUGCGACCCUGCACUGUGAACAGGACUUUGGACAUGACUACAUGUACUGGUACCGACAGGACCCCGGGCAGGGGCUGAGGCUGAUCUACUUCUCCCGAGCAGAAAAAAUUGUUGAGAAGGGAGACCUGGCUGAAGGCUACCAGGCCUCUCGAGAUAAGACGGCAUUCUUCCCUCUCACCAUGCCAUCGACAAGGAAGAACCAGACAGCUGUGUACCUCUGUGCCAGCAGCUUAGACACAGUGGACCCACACAGAUACUGCUGCACUGAGCUGCAGAGGUGGGCAAGAGACAGCGGCCCCUGA
Non-coding RNA from Phyllostomus hastatus (greater spear-nosed bat), 626 nucleotides. NCBI's taxonomy places the organism in Eukaryota, Metazoa, Chordata, Mammalia, Chiroptera, Phyllostomidae. The record is from the annotation of a RefSeq genome assembly.